GUCAGAAUGGCCGAGUGGUCUAAGGCGCCAGACUCAAGUUCUGGUCUCCGAAUGGAGGUGUGGGUUCAAAUCCCACUUCUGAAA
This 84-nucleotide transfer RNA is filed under the name Danio rerio (zebrafish). Its description in RNAcentral is "tRNA-Leu (CAA) (tRNA-Leu-CAA-40-1)". It matches the Rfam family "tRNA". From Rfam's summary of the family: Transfer RNA (tRNA) molecules are approximately 80 nucleotides in length. Their secondary structure includes four short double-helical elements and three loops (D, anti-codon, and T loops). Further hydrogen bonds mediate the characteristic L-shaped molecular structure. tRNAs have two regions of fundamental functional importance: the anti-codon, which is responsible for specific mRNA codon recognition, and the 3' end, to which the tRNAs corresponding amino acid is attached (by aminoacyl-tRNA synthetases). tRNAs cope with the degeneracy of the genetic code in two manners: having more than one tRNA (with a specific anti-codon) for a particular amino acid; and 'wobble' base-pairing, i.e. permitting non-standard base-pairing at the 3rd anti-codon position. The record is from RNAcentral. Lineage: Eukaryota; Metazoa; Chordata; Actinopteri; Cypriniformes; Danionidae.